This 410-nucleotide ribosomal RNA is filed under the name uncultured bacterium. Its description in RNAcentral is "bacterial SSU rRNA". It matches the Rfam family "Bacterial small subunit ribosomal RNA", at positions 794 to 1203 of the family's 1533-position model. The record is from RNAcentral.
UCCACGCCCUAAACGAUGUCUACUAGUUGUUGGUGGAGUAAAAUCCAUGAGUAACGCAGCUAACGCGUGAAGUAGACCGCCUGGGGAGUACGGUCGCAAGAUUAAAACUCAAAUGAAUUGACGGGGGCCCGCACAAGCGGUGGAUUAUGUGGAUUAAUUCGAUGCAACGCGAAAAACCUUACCUGGCCUUGACAUGUAACGAACUUUCCAGAGAUGGAUUGGUGCUCGAAAGAGAACGUUAACACAGGUGCUGCAUGGCUGUCGUCAGCUCGUGUCGUGAGAUGUUGGGUUAAGUCCCGCAACGAGCGCAACCCUUGCCAUUAAUUGCCAUCAUUUAGUGGGCACUUUAAUGGGACUGCCGGUGACAAACCGGAGGAAGGUGGGGAUGACGUCAAGUCCUCAUGGCCCUU